Molecule: long non-coding RNA, 1973 nt
Organism: Gymnodraco acuticeps
Lineage: Eukaryota; Metazoa; Chordata; Actinopteri; Perciformes; Bathydraconidae
Exons: 4
Source: RefSeq, a predicted model, not a curated record
GAUGUGGAGAUUCUAAUGGAAGACCAAGAGAAAAUGUGUUAACAACAUGUUCGACAGGUAUUUAUAUUUAGACAAGUGCAGUUUUAAUUUAGGAAGGUAUCUAGCACCAUUUUACGUGAAGCAUUGAGGUUUUUUUUGUUCCUUAUGCAGUCCUUUCCACUAUACUUGAAUAUCUGGACUCUGGUUCACCCAUAUUUGUUUCUAUUUUGUGUACCAAGUUUUUCCAGAUGCAGCCAACAAUUGGAUUAUUUUAGAAAAGCUGUAAAGAAAAAUGCUUAUCUAAAGUGUGUCCACUUUUUCAAACUUAUGUCUCCAAAAAAAGCAUUAGCCCUCUCUGCUGUUUAAAACUGAAAUGACAGCUCUGAGGCAGUCUUUAACCCCAUCAGCAGGUCCCAACAACCGGUUAAAAGCAGUUGAAAUACUAAUAUAGCCUAUUGAUAAAUGAAAAACUAUACACUUUGAACUUAAUUUAGUUUAUUUUUAAUCCAAUUACCACAUACUGACACACAUCCCACGUAGUGUUCUGUACAUUUUUAUUAAAAAUCCUGGACAUCGAAAAUAAUGAUUGUCUUUUUUUGCAUCCUGGGUUGCAGAGCAAUACCACAGUGUAACCAGUGUUCAGAUCAUUAAUCAAGCACAUAAUUAAUUAUAAAUGUUUUACCAAUGUGAUUUGAAUAGUGUUGGAAGGCUCAUUUUCUGACCAGCACACAUUUUUGUUCUGUUCCCAUGAGUUGUGCUUUACAGAGGGGGCAUUCCCCGCUGCCUUCAAGCCCCCUCCAGCAGUCCAGCGGGGCUAGACAAACAAGACCUGGGGUCCAGUCAAUUUGUCUGGACAAAUUUGGGGAUUUGGGGCCUCGGCAAGCUAUGCAGGGACGAGUGCUAAUUGUUUGUGUGCCAAGCAACUGCUCUCAAUCCCCUGGUCUCUCAAGUCACUCUAUUCACCCUGGUCUUUGUUUGCUAGGAGGAUGGAUGUGCAACAAAUGCUUUGGGGGAAGAUGUGGUCCUCUUAUACCUCCACCCCCUGGUCAACAAUGAGACAAUCUGAGAAAGUGCUGGAGCGAGGCGUCACCCCAGGCACCAGUCCCUCACUAAUUCAGUGUCGCCCCUCGGCGCUCUCCUGGCAUGCUGAUCAGAGGAUUAGGCCCCGGAGACGGCAUCGAGUCAAGAGCAGGCUGGAGAAAGGGAAAGGCAUGCAGGCGAGAUGAGGUGAAUGCCAUGCUGGCAAGGGUGCCAAGGAAGCAGAUGGCUUCAGAAAGCAGAAGUAGAAGGAAACAAAUGUGGAGGAGGGACCCUGUGGAGAAUACUAAGCACUGUGGGAGAUGCAGCAACAAAGGGUGCUCCAAACUUUGAGGACAGCCCCUCCAGAAAACACAGGCCUGGCCCUCCAAACUCAAAGGACGAGCUCCAUUCACCGCCUGGCAACGGCGCUGAGAAAUGGAGAAGAGAUGGGCACAACGGAAUGGGUGGGCAGUAAAUUAUCAACUUUGAGAGGAGAAGACACGAUAUUUAUUUAUAGCAUUCAGCCAGGGCACUCAGGGAAGGUUGAAAUGGAAAGGGGGUGCGCGUCUUUUGCAAGGGGCAUCCUAGGUGGUCAGCAUUGACCUGUACUAACCCCUUGUAUCCUGUCUCAUUCUCCCACCCUUCACACUUGUCUUGUACCCAGAGCUCCCGAGACCUCCCUGGUAAUUAGGGAACGAGUCACACCCACUCCCUGCCCCCAAAUGUAGUAAAUGUUCCUCCUUCUCCUGGCCUUGUGACACACACACUCACACAGCCACAGAAUUGUGGCUUCAAGACACCAUUCAGCCCUGGUCCCUACUUGCUCUAUCCCCCACUCUACAUUUUAUCACCACCCCUUGUUUUGUUUUGCUGUCUCAAUCCAUCAAUCUUCCCAUUAGCCUCCAUAUUACGGACACCACGGGAAACGCCCCCUUUACACCAGCCCUUCAAAUCUGUCUUCCUCUCUGCAACUC